This 750-nucleotide ribosomal RNA is filed under the name Francisella-like endosymbiont of Hyalomma impeltatum. RNAcentral describes it as "bacterial SSU rRNA". It matches the Rfam family "Bacterial small subunit ribosomal RNA", at positions 664 to 1411 of the family's 1533-position model. The record is from RNAcentral. Lineage: Bacteria; Pseudomonadati; Pseudomonadota; Gammaproteobacteria; Thiotrichales; Francisellaceae.
GAAUUUCUGGUGUAGCGGUGAAAUGCGUAGAGAUCAGAAGGAACACCAAUGGCGAAGGCAACAUUCUGGACCGAUACUGACACUGAGGGACGAAAGCGUGGGGAUCAAACAGGAUUAGAUACCCUGGUAGUCCACGCUGUAAACGAUGAGUACUAGCUGUUGGAGUCGGUGUAAAGGCUCUAGUGGCGCAGCUAACGCGAUAAGUACUCCGCCUGGGGAACUACGGCCGCAAGGCUAAAACUCAAAGGAAUUGACGGGGACCCGCACAAGCGGUGGAGCAUGUGGUUUAAUUCGAUGCAACGCGAAGAACCUUACCUGGUCUUGACAUCCUGCGAGCUUUCUAGAGAUAGAUUGGUGCCUUCGGGAACGCAGUGACAGGUGCUGCAUGGCUGUCGUCAGCUCGUGUUGUGAAAUGUUGGGUUAAGUCCCGCAACGAGCGCAACCCCUAUUGAUAUUUACCAUCAUUAAGUUGGGUACUCUAUUGACACUGCCGCUGACAAGGCGGAGGAAGGUGGGGACGACGUCAAGUCAUCAUGGCCCUUACGACCAGGGCUACACACGUGCUACAAUGGGUAUUACAGAGGGCUGCGAAGGAGCAAUCUGGAGCGAAACUCAAAAAAGUACUCUUAGUCCGGAUUGCAGUCUGCAACUCGACUGCAUGAAGUCGGAAUCGCUAGUAAUCGCAGGUCAGAAUACUGCGGUGAAUACUUUCCCGGGUCUUGUACACACCGCCCGUCACACCAUGGGAGU